Molecule: long non-coding RNA, 1644 nt
Filed under: Lonchura striata (white-rumped munia)
Lineage: Eukaryota; Metazoa; Chordata; Aves; Passeriformes; Estrildidae
Description: domestica (Bengalese finch) lncRNA (ENSLSDG00000003965.1)
Source: RNAcentral
ACCUCAAACUUGUGCUGCCCUGAUAGACCCAAGGGAGCCCUACAAACUGACAUCAGCAACCUGGACUGGUGAGUUUUCUAUCCCAGGGAAAAAGGCCAAAGUAUGUGCCUAGGGGACUCGGCCAUGGGCUGGCACCUGACUGCAAAAAGUCACUAUAUCGAAGGAUGGACCCGAGACCAAAUUUUGUCCCCACCUCAAACUUGUGCUGCCCUGAGAGACCCACGGGAGCUAUAAAAAUUAACAUCAGGAACCUGGACUGGUGAGUUUUCUUUCCCAGGGAAAAUGGCCAAAAUAUGUGCCCAUGGGCCCCUGGCCCUGGGAUGGGCCCUGAAUGCAAAAAAUAGUUAUAUAGAAGGAUGGACCCCAGACUGAAGUUGUCCCCACCUCAAACUUGUGCUGCCCUGAUAGAUCCAUGGGAUCCCUAUAAACUGACAUCAGGAAACUGGACUGGUGAAUUUUCUUUCCCAGGGAAAAUGGCCAAAGGAUGUGCCCAGGGGCCCCUGGCCAUGGGCAGGAACCCGAUUGCAAAAUAUCCUUAUAUCGAAGGAUGGACCCCAGACCGAAUGUUGUCCCCACCUCAAACUUGUGCUGCCCUGAUAGACCCAAGGGAGCCCUACAAACUGACAUCAGGAACCUGGACUGGUGAGUUUUCUUUCCCAGGGAAAAUGGCCAACGAUUUUGCCCAGGAGCCCCUGGCCCUGGGCUGGCACCUCACUGCCAAAAAUACUUAUAUCGAAGGAUGGACCCAAGACUGAAGCUGUCCCCUCCUCAAAAUUGUGCUGCCCUGAUAGACCCAAGGGAGCCCGACAAACUGACAUCAGCAACCUGGACUGGUGAGUUUUUUUUCCCGGGGAAAAUGGCCAAAGGAUGUGCCCAGGGGCCCAGGCCAUGGCCUGGGACCUGACUGCAAAAAGUCCAUACAUCAAAGGAUGUGCCCCAGACUAAAUUGGCCCCCACCUCAAACUUGUGCUGCCCUGAUAGACUCAAGGGAGCCCUACAAACUGACAACAGGGACUUGAAGUUUUAUGUUUUCUUUCCCAGGGAAAAUGGCCAAAGGAUGUUCCUAGGGGCAUCUGGCCGUGGGGUGGGACCUGACUGCAUAAAAGUCAAUACAUCGAAGGAUGGAACCGAGACCGAAGUUGUCCCCACCUCAAACUUGUACUGCCCGGAUAGACCCAUGGAAGUCCUACAAACUGAUAUCAGGAACCUGAACUGGUGAGUUUUCUUUCCCAGGGAAAUUUGCCAAAGCAUGUGCCUAGGGGCCCCUGGCCCUGGGCUGGCACCUGACUCCAAAAACUCCAUUUAUCAAACGAUCGACCCCCAACCGAAAUUGUCCCCACCUCAAACUUUUGCUGCCUUGAUCGACCCAAGGGAGCCCUACAAACUGACAUCAGGAACCUGGAUUUGUGAGUUUUCUUUCCCAGGGAAAAUGGCCAAACGAUGUGCCUAGUGGCCCCUGGCCCUGGGCUGGCACCUGACUGCCAAAAAUCCUUAUAUCGAAGGAUGGACCCCAGACCAAAAUUGUCCCUGUGGGAACUCAGAAUGUCUCUCAGACAUUUUUAGAGGUUCCAGGCCUUGUUCAGAAGCAUUCUAGACCCUGGCAGACAGCUGAAAAACAACCGUGAUUUUGAGUUUGAGCCAUGG